This 242-nucleotide unclassified non-coding RNA is filed under the name Lachnum soppittii. RNAcentral's name for it is "partial internal transcribed spacer region". The stretch from base 1 to 46 matches the Rfam family "Eukaryotic small subunit ribosomal RNA", at positions 1786 to 1831 of the family's 1831-position model. The record is from RNAcentral. Lineage: Eukaryota; Fungi; Ascomycota; Leotiomycetes; Helotiales; Lachnaceae.
AAGUCGUAACAAGGUUUCCGUAGGUGAACCUGCGGAAGGAUCAUUACAGAGUUCAUGCCCUCCGGGGUAGAUCUCCCACCCUUGUGUAUCAUUAUUGAUCGUUGCUUUGGCGGGCCGCAGGCCUAGCUUGCCCAGGCUUUUGCCCGGUUGCGCCCGCCAGAGGACCCCUAAACUCUGAAUGUUAGUGUCGUCUGAGUACUAUUAAAUAGUUAAAACUUUCAACAACGGAUCUCUUGGUUCUG